RNAcentral lists this ribosomal RNA (478 nucleotides) under uncultured organism. RNAcentral describes it as "partial 16S ribosomal RNA". It matches the Rfam family "Bacterial small subunit ribosomal RNA", at positions 332 to 801 of the family's 1533-position model. The record is from RNAcentral.
UACACUCCUGCGGGAGGCAGCAGUGGGGAAUUUUGGACAAUGGGGGCAACCCUGAUCCAGCAAUGCCGCGUGAGUGAAGAAGGCCUUCGGGUUGUAAAGCUCUUUUGUCAGGGAAGAAACGGUGGUGGCGAAUAACUACUACUAAUGACGGUACCUGAAGAAUAAGCACCGGCUAACUACGUGCCAGCAGCCGCGGUAAUACGUAGGGUGCAAGCGUUAAUCGGAAUUACUGGGCGUAAAGCGUGCGCAGGCGGUUGUGUAAGUCAGAUGUGAAAUCCCCGGGCUCAACCUGGGAAUUGCAUUUGAGACUGCACGGCUAGAGUGUGUCAGAGGGGGGUAGAAUUCCACGUGUAGCAGUGAAAUGCGUAGAUAUGUGGAGGAAUACCGAUGGCGAAGGCAGCCCCCUGGGAUAACACUGACGCUCAUGCACGAAAGCGUGGGGAGCAAACAGGAUUAGAUACCCCGGUAGUCCCAUGAU